This 76-nucleotide transfer RNA is filed under the name Phyllocladus aspleniifolius. RNAcentral describes it as "tRNA-Val". It matches the Rfam family "tRNA". From Rfam's summary of the family: Transfer RNA (tRNA) molecules are approximately 80 nucleotides in length. Their secondary structure includes four short double-helical elements and three loops (D, anti-codon, and T loops). Further hydrogen bonds mediate the characteristic L-shaped molecular structure. tRNAs have two regions of fundamental functional importance: the anti-codon, which is responsible for specific mRNA codon recognition, and the 3' end, to which the tRNAs corresponding amino acid is attached (by aminoacyl-tRNA synthetases). tRNAs cope with the degeneracy of the genetic code in two manners: having more than one tRNA (with a specific anti-codon) for a particular amino acid; and 'wobble' base-pairing, i.e. permitting non-standard base-pairing at the 3rd anti-codon position. Lineage: Eukaryota; Viridiplantae; Streptophyta; Pinopsida; Araucariales; Podocarpaceae. The record is from RNAcentral. RNAcentral also lists the same sequence under 1 other name.
AGGGCUAUAGCUCAGCAAGGUAGAGCACCUCGUUUACACACCGAGAAGGUCUACGGUUCGAGUCCGUAUAGCCCUA